This 93-nucleotide unclassified non-coding RNA is filed under the name Moheibacter sediminis. RNAcentral describes it as "Flavo-1 RNA". The record is from RNAcentral. Lineage: Bacteria; Pseudomonadati; Bacteroidota; Flavobacteriia; Flavobacteriales; Weeksellaceae.
AUUUAAAUGAUCUGCGUGAUUACGCGAGGGAUAGCAGCGGAAACCCCACAGCGAGGAAGGAGCGAGGAGUUGCAGCGGAUAGCCCGACCCCGA